RNAcentral lists this long non-coding RNA (250 nucleotides) under Lathyrus oleraceus (garden pea). Its description in RNAcentral is "Pisum sativum (pea) long non-coding RNA (PSAT_LNC031001)". Lineage: Eukaryota; Viridiplantae; Streptophyta; Magnoliopsida; Fabales; Fabaceae. The record is from RNAcentral.
UUUGUUUGAUUUUCAUUUACUAGAGAAAAAAAUUGCUUUGGGAAGAAGGUCGUUUGGUUUGACGUUGUUAUUCUCAUUUUCUCGUUUUAUUUUUAUGAGCUGGGAUUACUUAAUGACGGGUAUUAUGGGCUUGUUUCUAAAGCCAAAAUCCAGUGGACCAUAUUUUCCUUUUAUUGUUUUUUUUUCGGUUAGUUGGUUUCCACCCUUAUUUUGUUAUUUGUUGGUCCUAAGUUUAGCAACAGGAAACUUG